Notothenia coriiceps (black rockcod) is the source of this 272-nucleotide long non-coding RNA. RefSeq lists it as uncharacterized. Lineage: Eukaryota; Metazoa; Chordata; Actinopteri; Perciformes; Nototheniidae. The record is from RefSeq and is a predicted model, not a curated record. The transcript is spliced from 3 exons.
UGCGUCACGGUUUCCCUUACCAGCCGACUGCUUUGGCUUUUGACCCCGUGCAGAAGAUCCUGGCCAUCGGCUCCAGGACAGGCGGCGUGCGGAUACUGGGACGACCCGGAGUGGACUGCUACUGUCAGCAUGAGAGUGGAUCAGCUGUUCUUCAACUGCAGUUCCUCAUCAAUGAGGGGGCGCUGGUCACAGCCUGUGCAGAUGACACGCUUCACUUGUGGAAUCUCCGUCAGAGGCGACCGGCUGUCCUCCAUUCACUCAAAUUCAACAGA